RNAcentral lists this ribosomal RNA (504 nucleotides) under uncultured bacterium. Its description in RNAcentral is "partial 16S ribosomal RNA". It matches the Rfam family "Bacterial small subunit ribosomal RNA", at positions 30 to 523 of the family's 1533-position model. The record is from RNAcentral.
AUUGAACGCUGGCGGCAGGCCUAACACAUGCAAGUCGAACGGUAGCACAGAGAGCUUGCUCUCGGGUGACGAGUGGCGGACGGGUGAGUAACGUCUGGGAAACUGCCCGAUGGAGGGGGAUAACUACUGGAAACGGUAGCUAAUACCGCUUAACGUCGCAAGACCAAAGUGGGGGACCUUCGGGCCUCACACCAUCGGAUGUGCCCAGAUGGGAUUAGCUAGUAGGUGGGGUAAUGGCUCACCUAGGCGACGAUCCCUAGCUGGUCUGAGAGGAUGACCAGCCACACUGGAACUGAGACACGGUCCAGACUCCUACGGGAGGCAGCAGUGGGGAAUAUUGCACAAUGGGCGCAAGCCUGAUGCAGCCAUGCCGCGUGUAUGAAGAAGGCCUUCGGGUUGUAAAGUACUUUCAGCGGGGAGGAAGGCGGUGAAGUUAAUAACCUUGUCGAUUGACGUUACCCGCAGAAGAAGCACCGGCUAACUCCGUGCCAGCAGCCGCAGUAA